RNAcentral lists this ribosomal RNA (484 nucleotides) under uncultured bacterium. RNAcentral describes it as "partial 16S ribosomal RNA". It matches the Rfam family "Bacterial small subunit ribosomal RNA", at positions 30 to 507 of the family's 1533-position model. The record is from RNAcentral.
AUUGAACGCUGGCGGCAGGCCCAACACAUGCAAGUCGAGCGGAUGAAGGGAGCUUGCUCCUGGAUUCAGCGGCGGACGGGUGAGUAAUGCCUAGGAAUCUGCCUUGUAGUGGGGGAUAACGUCCGGAAACGGGCGCUAAUACCGCAUACGUCCUGAGGGAGAAAGUGGGGGAUCUUCGGACCUCACGCUAUCAGAUGAGCCUAGGUCGGAUUAGCUAGUUGGUGGGGUAAAGGCCUACCAAGGCGACGAUCCGUAACUGGUCUGAGAGGAUGAUCAGUCACACUGGAACUGAGACACGGUCCAGACUCCUACGGGAGGCAGCAGUGGGGAAUAUUGGACAAUGGGCGAAAGCCUGAUCCAGCCAUGCCGCGUGUGUGAAGAAGGUCUUCGGAUUGUAAAGCACUUUAAGUUGGGAGGAAGGGCAGUAAGUUAAUACCUUGCUGUUUUGACGUUACCAACAGAAUAAGCACCGGCUAACUUCGUG